Molecule: ribosomal RNA, 382 nt
Filed under: uncultured bacterium
Lineage: Bacteria
Description: bacterial SSU rRNA
Rfam family: Bacterial small subunit ribosomal RNA
Source: RNAcentral
UAAUACAGAGGAGCCAAGCGUUGUCCGGAUUGACUGGGCGUAAAGCGCACGCAGGCGGUCGCGCGCGUGGGGUGUGAAAUCUGGCCGCUUAACGGCCAGGCGCCAUCCCAUACGGCGCAACUGGAGUGAUGCAGAGGUCGGUGGAAUUGCCGGUGUAGUGGUGAAAUGCGUAGAGAUCGGCAGGAACACCCAGGGGGAAACCAGCCGACUGGGCAUCUACUGACGCUGAGGUGCGAGAGCGUGGGGAGCGAACCGGAUUAGAUACCCGGGUAGUCCACGCCGUAAACGAUGGCCACUCGGCCUUUGGAGGCGGAAUCUCCGUCUUUGGGGGCCUUAGCUAACGCGGGAAGUGGCCCGCCUGGGAACUACGAGCGCAAGCUUA